This 346-nucleotide ribosomal RNA is filed under the name uncultured eukaryote. RNAcentral's name for it is "SSU rRNA". It matches the Rfam family "Eukaryotic small subunit ribosomal RNA", at positions 594 to 945 of the family's 1831-position model. The record is from RNAcentral.
AUAGCGUAUAUUUAAGUUGUUGCAGUUAAAAAGCUCGUAGUUGGACUUUGGGUGGGAGCCGUGUGGUCGGCGCUUUGCGUCGUACUGCCGGCACCCUCCCUGCUGCCGGGGACAGGCUGCUGACCUUCACUGGUUGGCACCUGGAGUCGGCGAGGUUACUUUGAGUAAAUUAGAGUGUUCAAAGCAGGCCUACGCUCUGAAUACAUUAGCAUGGAAUAACACGAUAGGACUCUGGCCUAUCUAGUUGGUCUGUGGGACCGGAGUAAUGAUUAAGAGGGACAGUCGGGGGCAUUCAUAUUUCAUUGUCAGAGGUGAAAUUCUUGGAUUUAUGAAAGAUGAACUUCUG